GGAACCACGACUGGGAUCUAGAGGCUGCUCAUUGGCCGCCGAUAUGCUAAUGCAUGUUGUUGUUGCAAUAAAAAUAAUGUCGAGAAUAAAAGCAGCCUUUAGAUUGGCACAGUUGAUGGUGCAUGCAGUAUUGAGAGUAAAAGGGAAGAUCUUGUACCAGCCACUGUAAGAUCCAGUAGCAAAGCCAAGGAUGUUACCAAUGGCCAUAAAUAAGGAAAAAUAUGCAUUUGCUACCCGAGUUC
Molecule: unclassified non-coding RNA, 242 nt
Filed under: Hevea brasiliensis (rubber tree)
Lineage: Eukaryota; Viridiplantae; Streptophyta; Magnoliopsida; Malpighiales; Euphorbiaceae
Source: RNAcentral